AGUUUAUGGAUACAAUUUAAUUCAACUGAUUAAAUUCAGGUUUAUUGGUUUAAUUUAUUAAUAAACUUAACUAACUUAUUAAUAUUAAAUUGAUAAAUCAAUUCAGUAAAUUAAAUCCAAUCUAUACAAUUUAAAGAGGAUGUGUCUUUAAGUUAGUACUGCUAGGCUUUAGAGACAGAAGGCUCAAUUUGAAUCUUACAGCAUGCCAGCACAUUGGUGGGGUUGUUUUAAGACCACAGGUCAUUGUACAGUAUUAUAAAUUUUUAAAAAAUUCUUUUUCUUUUUCUUUCUCUCUCUUCCCCUCUCUCUCUCUCUCUCUCUCUCUCUCUCUCUCUUUCUUUCUUUUUUUUUGUAACAGGGAUUGAAUCCAGAGAGGCUUAACCACUGAGCCACAUCCCCAGAACUUUUUAUUUUUUAUUUGAGACAAAGUCUUGCUAAGUUGCUUAGGGCCUUGCUAAGUUGUUGGAACUGCCUUUGAACUUGUGAUCCUCCUGCCUUAGCUUCCCAAGUUGCUGCAAUUACAGGUGUAUGCCACUGUGCCUGGUUUAAAGUUCAUUUUUAAAAAUUCAUUUUUGUUAAGCUACUCAGGAAUGAUCUUGGAGAUAUUCCAUUAUAAUCUAGUUUAUGAAAAACUGAUAAAUGUUAGAAUACUAAUUUACAUCAUCAGAGAGAGAAACCCAUCAAGCAUACUAGAAUAUAUAUGUAUUUUCUGGUCAUUCAUUAUCUGUUCAAUAGAUAACAAAGCUUUUGAAAAUUAU
This 758-nucleotide long non-coding RNA is filed under the name Marmota monax (woodchuck). Lineage: Eukaryota; Metazoa; Chordata; Mammalia; Rodentia; Sciuridae. The record is from RNAcentral.